UUGAUGAGGAUGAAGCAAUAUUUAAAUUUCCAACACUUGGACUGAGAGAUAAGAUCUCAAGUGAUGCUACAAAACAUUGCUACUGAAUCGUU
RNAcentral lists this small nucleolar RNA (92 nucleotides) under Olea europaea subsp. europaea. RNAcentral describes it as "Small nucleolar RNA snoR31". It matches the Rfam family "Small nucleolar RNA snoR31". Lineage: Eukaryota; Viridiplantae; Streptophyta; Magnoliopsida; Lamiales; Oleaceae. The record is from Rfam by way of RNAcentral.